This 473-nucleotide ribosomal RNA is filed under the name uncultured microorganism. Its description in RNAcentral is "bacterial SSU rRNA". It matches the Rfam family "Bacterial small subunit ribosomal RNA", at positions 9 to 526 of the family's 1533-position model. The record is from RNAcentral.
GAGUUUGAUCUUGGCUCAGAGCGAACGCUGGCGGCAGGCUUAACACAUGCAAGUCGAGCGGGCGUAGCAAUACGUCAGCGGCAGACGGGUGAGUAACACGUGGGAACGUACCUUUUGGUUCGGAACAACUGAGGGAAACUUCAGCUAAUACCGGAUAAGCCCUAACGGGGAAAGAUUUAUCGCCGAAAGAUCGGCCCGCGUCUGAUUAGCUAGUUGGUGAGGUAAUGGCUCACCAAGGCGACGAUCAGUAGCUGGUCUGAGAGGAUGAUCAGCCACACUGGGACUGAGACACGGCCCAGACUCCUACGGGAGGCAGCAGUGGGGAAUAUUGGACAAUGGGGGCAACCCUGAUCCAGCCAUGCCGCGUGAGUGAUGAAGGCCCUAGGGUUGUAAAGCUCUUUGUGCGGGAAGAUAAUGACGGUACCGCAAGAAUAAGCCCCGACUAACUUCGUGCCAGCAGCCGCCGCAGUAAC